CCUCUACCAUCUAUUGGAGUACUCUUCACUACUCUACUAGUCACAGAGGGCCUCCCUUACGUGCCCCCGCAUCCAAUGAUCUGUGAAAGACUUUCAGUCUGAUGAUGACUCAAAACUAGAGAACUCAAUGGUCGCCUAUUUGAGGUGAUACAGCCCACCCUAGAGUCUACAUGCGGCAACCUCCUCGAAGGUCCGAUGAUCGGCUUCCUCAUCCUUAAAAGUCUCGAAUCGAUAGUA
RNAcentral lists this long non-coding RNA (237 nucleotides) under Elaeis guineensis (African oil palm). RNAcentral's name for it is "long non-coding RNA (EGUI_LNC016723)". The record is from RNAcentral. Lineage: Eukaryota; Viridiplantae; Streptophyta; Magnoliopsida; Arecales; Arecaceae.